CCACACACAAGGUGUUGUAUGAUCUUUAAAUAAGAUAUAUCAAUAGAAGGCACUAACGAGCAAAAACAGCUGACAUAUUGAUAUUGACAUUUUAAUUAAAACUAGUUGUCCUUUGACAGCCUUACAUACAGAAAACGCAUGCAUCUGUCAGUGUUUAAGUGGUCCAACUUAUAGUAUAUAUAGCUAUUUACCGGUAUAAUUAGUGUUUAAAAACAUCCAAAACGCGUGGCCUGACAACUGUCAACGAAAAGCAAGUCAUUUUUUGAAAUAUCUAUAACAUAUGUAGUAUAGAUUUUCUCUUCAGUGUGAAGGUGGAUCUCAUUCAGAUUGAAGUUACAAUGUCCCGUAUGAUCCUUACUCUACUGAUCAUAUCCUGUAUACUUGGACUUGCUGUAGCCCAGUACGGACAACUUGGAGCGUUCAGACAUUACAGUGAAUGGUUGAUGGACGACCCACAAAAAGCUAAUAGGAUGCCAUUUUGGAACCAUCUACUAGGCAACCGGAGAUUUAUGACAGGAUCGCGUGGAAGAACUUCAACACGAGCUCGAGCAGGAAGUGGCAGCACGGGUUGGAACAGUUUUAGCGGCAACAUGAACUGGAUGCCGUUAUUGAUGACUGUCAACUUCGACUACUAGUUCCUUAAGAUAAAAUGAGAUUGUGACAUGCUACGAAAAAGUCCUCUUUAUUAAUAAAGUGUCUCCUGAAAACUGAUGCAAAAAUUUUCAGAUGUUUUAUAAUGGUGUUGGUGGAUUUCUCAUAUAUGAGUUUCCAAGUAGUAAAUUGCUACCCGAGUUAUUGUUGUACAAAAUAAGUUAACAGUUGGUAAAAGGUGUUUUACUUGGCGACUUGAUGAACUUAUUGUUUAUUUCACAGUUUUGCAGUGAAGAGAUUGCCCCCGUGAAAUCUAGUAGUACAUGUAAAGUCAUAAUCAUCAACACUUCUACAGCUAACUGCUUUUAUUUCAGACUUCUUUUCAUAGACAAGUAAAGUCCACUACCAUCGCUUCAUUAUUCGCCUCUUUCAUUGCUCUAACAUCAUACUUCACUUCCGUCAUCUUUUCACCAAUACCUCUAAAGCCACUGCUCUCAUUCCGCAUUUCACUUCCUCAGCAUUUUUAUAAACGCAUAGCAAGUCUACUGCUCUUGC
Molecule: RNA transcript, 1146 nt
Organism: Mercenaria mercenaria
Lineage: Eukaryota; Metazoa; Mollusca; Bivalvia; Venerida; Veneridae
Exons: 3
Source: RefSeq, a predicted model, not a curated record